This 54-nucleotide ribosomal RNA is filed under the name Fusarium decemcellulare. RNAcentral's name for it is "partial 18S ribosomal RNA". It matches the Rfam family "Eukaryotic small subunit ribosomal RNA", at positions 1779 to 1831 of the family's 1831-position model. The record is from RNAcentral. Lineage: Eukaryota; Fungi; Ascomycota; Sordariomycetes; Hypocreales; Nectriaceae.
GAAGUAAAAGUCGUAACAAGGUCUCCGUUGGUGAACCAGCGGAGGGAUCAUUAC